This is a long non-coding RNA of Ctenopharyngodon idella (grass carp), 654 nucleotides long. RefSeq lists it as uncharacterized. Lineage: Eukaryota; Metazoa; Chordata; Actinopteri; Cypriniformes; Xenocyprididae. The record is from RefSeq and is a predicted model, not a curated record. The transcript has 3 exons.
GAAAUAGCAGCUAGCUAAACAGGAUGGAUGCGAUUAGGCAAAAACAGAAGUGGUCCGAGGAGGAAAUAAGUUGCUUUCUUGCACUCUGGUCCUCUGCAGAAGUGCAGAAUAAAUUAGAGGGAGCUUUAUGGACGAAACCGAUGUUGCAGCAAAUUCAACUCGAGAUGGCUGCAGCAGGAAUGUCGAACAGAUUAGCAAUAAAAUAAAAAAACUCAAAGAGUACCGGGGCCAAAAAAAGGACCUCGGUCGAAGCGGCAAUGGCCGGCCACGUCGAAACCCACAUUUCAACAUUCUCGACGCUGUCCUCAGCGAUAGACCGGCAUGCCAGGUGUCUAGGGCACUGAACUCGGCAACAAUUAUGCUCGAGUCAAUGGUGGAUGAUUCGCGUCAGCAAAGUUGCACUGAUCCUGAAUUGUCUGUCAUCAACGACGGUGAUGACAGCACCGAGUUACUGCCACCACUGGGCUGCAGCUCUCCCACACCAUCAUGUAGCAGCUCUGGAGAUACAUAUCCUGCAUCUUCAGAACAGGACAAACAGGGAAAAAGGAAGAGAGACAGUACUUCGGAACUGGUUCGGACACACGUUCACUGCUUGGACUCAUGAUUGCAAAUAAAUCACACCACAGUAGCACAAUUUAUUAUCAUUUACUGCAC